AUGCAUGUGGCCACUUGAGUUUCCCAAACUUCUCCAGUGUCAGAUCAGGAGCUGAAGUUUCAUGUAAAGAAAUCUGAUUCUCUGCCUAGAUGUUCCGAGGCUGAUGAUGAUAAGUGGCUGGCGCACGUUCCUUCCGAAGAUGAAUCAAGACAGACAUAGUCAAGCAACACACUGUUUUAUCAGUCAGGUGCAGCUCCACCUGCUGAUAGGAAGGCCUGUAGCUUGGAAAUCCUCAACCAG
Long non-coding RNA from Dermochelys coriacea (leatherback sea turtle), 240 nucleotides. RefSeq lists it as uncharacterized. Lineage: Eukaryota; Metazoa; Chordata; Testudines; Dermochelyidae. The record is from RefSeq and is a predicted model, not a curated record. The transcript is spliced from 3 exons.